UACGUAGGGGGCAAGCGUUGUCCGGAUUCAUUGGGCGUAAAGAGCGUGUAGGCGGCCAGGUAGGUCCGUUGUGAAAACUCGAGGCUCAACCUCGAGACGUCGAUGGAAACCAUCUGGCUAGAGUCCGGAAGAGGAGAGUGGAAUUCCUGGUGUAGCGGUGAAAUGCGCAGAUAUCAGGAAGAACACCUAUGGCGAAGGCAGCUCUCUGGGACGGUACUGACGCUGAGACGCGAAAGCGUGGGGAGCGAACAGGAUUAGAAACCCCCGUAGUCC
RNAcentral lists this ribosomal RNA (273 nucleotides) under uncultured bacterium. Its description in RNAcentral is "partial 16S ribosomal RNA". It matches the Rfam family "Bacterial small subunit ribosomal RNA", at positions 524 to 796 of the family's 1533-position model. The record is from RNAcentral.